CGCUACGUAAGCAUGCGUCGUGGAAAAAACAACAGAUAUGGAGAACAGGCGCCGAGAAUACGACGAUUCUCGUUCAACUAGCCUCGGUAACAAGCCUCAUUGCCACUUUAUUAUCGCAAACAGAUCUGCCAGGAAUAGCCACAAAUCACACAGAACUGGUUAUCCGGUGCGUCAUACAUGAGCUUAUGUCCGUGUUUCUCAACAGCAUUAUCUAUGGAAACGGACUAACUCUCCUAUACUGAAUACGAUGGGAAAUAUUCUCGAAACAGCAUGGAACAAUUAGCAAUUAGCAUAAUUUCCAAUCCAUUACCUCCUAAUAGAAAUUCGAAUGUAUGCACAGAAGUGACUAAAAGGCAUACAUAUAACAGCUUUGAUUUAUUAACUUCUAAAUUAAUUUGUAUACGAGAAUAAAUGUGAUUUGUAAAGAUAUCUUCUAGGCAGUUACUUCUGGAUACGCAAGGGAAAAGGAUUAUUCUAAAUUGAAAUAACAAUGUUUACACACAAUUACAACUAGUUUACUCUUGAAGAUAUUAUAUUACUGUUUAAUGAAAUUGAAGUAUCCAUUCAUUACGAAUUUUAAUCGGGCGAAUCAACAAAUAGUAUGAAUUUUAAUAAUACGUUGGAAUAACGAAUGUUACAUUAAUUAGAGAGUGUUCACUAAAUAAUAAAAUGUAAACUAAUGUUACUCAACUUACAUAAUCAAAAGAUCAGUCAAAGGUACCAUAAACAUGAGGUGAAUUUUAGGUUAGAUCCAGGUUAAGUUGUGAACACUUCAAAAUAUUACACUAUUCACGGAAAACACGUACAAUUAAA
This 813-nucleotide unclassified non-coding RNA is filed under the name Bombus terrestris (buff-tailed bumblebee). Its description in RNAcentral is "misc RNA ENSBTSG00005027260.1". Lineage: Eukaryota; Metazoa; Arthropoda; Insecta; Hymenoptera; Apidae. The record is from RNAcentral.